AGAUAACUAUGUGGUGGGACUCAGGCUGCAAGUUACAAGUGAAGAAAAUCUGUCAAAGUCUCGGAUUGAAGAACUCGUGAUUAUAAAACUCCAGGAAGAAUUUAAAAGACGUGGACUUCCCAGUAACUUCACCAUGAGUCUGAGAAACUAUCGCAUGAUCGCUCCAUGAGAGAUGACAGCAAACACACACACAUACAUUACUGCAUUUAUCUAACUAUCACUUCACUUCUGCAUAUCUUUUUCAAUACUACACAUGUAUCUGAUUAAUUAGGAAGUUUAAGACAAAUAUAGGAAAGAGUUUUAUUAUAAAUACGGUGUAUUUUUUAUUGGUAAAUAAUGUUUAACAUAAUUUACCCAGUUGUCUAUAAACAUUUUUAAAACUAUAUAUAAUUUUAUAACAGUAAGAAUUAAAGUGAUCAAAAACCUAUACACAUAAGUAUAAAUGUACUGAUUUAAUCUCAUUUCUGAUCAAAAUCUAAUAAACUGUAUGCUUGUCACUGUA
This is a long non-coding RNA of Triplophysa dalaica, 502 nucleotides long. RefSeq lists it as uncharacterized. The record is from RefSeq and is a predicted model, not a curated record. Lineage: Eukaryota; Metazoa; Chordata; Actinopteri; Cypriniformes; Nemacheilidae. The transcript is spliced from 3 exons.